AGUAUGAAUAAAUGUAUGCAGUCGCUCUGGAUAAGAGUGCCUGCUAAAUGACUUAAA
Non-coding RNA from Salmo salar (Atlantic salmon), 57 nucleotides. Lineage: Eukaryota; Metazoa; Chordata; Actinopteri; Salmoniformes; Salmonidae. The record is from Rfam.